GGUUUGCUUGCAAACCAAAGCUGGCGACCGGCGCACGGGUGAGUAACACGUAUCCAACCUGCCUCAUACUCGGGGAUAGCCUUUCGAAAGAAAGAUUAAUAUCCGAUAGCAUAUAUUUCCCGCAUGGGUUUUAUAUUAAAGAAAUUCGGUAUGAGAUGGGGAUGCGUUCCAUUAGUUUGUUGGCGGGGUAACGGCCCACCAAGACUACGAUGGAUAGGGGUUCUGAGAGGAAGGUCCCCCACAUUGGAACUGAGACACGGUCCAAACUCCUACGGGAGGCAGCAGUGAGGAAUAUUGGUCAAUGGACGCGAGUCUGAACCAGCCAAGUAGCGUGAAGGAUGACUGCCCUAUGGGUUGUAAACUUCUUUUAUAUGGGAAUAAAGUGGUCCACGUGUGGAUUUUUGUAUGUACCAUAUGAAUAAGGAUCGGCUAACUCCGUGCCAGCAGCCGCGGUAAUACGGAGGAUCCGAGCGUUAUCCGGAUUUAUUGGGUUUAAAGGGAGCGUAGGCGGAUUGUUAAGUCAGUUGUGAAAGUUUGCGGCUCAACCGUAAAAUUGCAGUUGAUACUGGCAGUCUUGAGUGCAGUAGAGGUGGGCGGAAUUCGUGGUGUAGCGGUGAAAUGCUUAGAUAUCACGAAGAACUCCGAUUGCGAAGGCAGCUCACUGGAGUGUAACUGACGCUGAUGCUCGAAAGUGUGGGUAUCAAACAGG
RNAcentral lists this ribosomal RNA (709 nucleotides) under uncultured Bacteroidales bacterium. RNAcentral's name for it is "bacterial SSU rRNA". It matches the Rfam family "Bacterial small subunit ribosomal RNA", at positions 73 to 776 of the family's 1533-position model. Lineage: Bacteria; Pseudomonadati; Bacteroidota; Bacteroidia; Bacteroidales. The record is from RNAcentral.